Molecule: small RNA, 28 nt
Filed under: Bombyx mori (domestic silkworm)
Lineage: Eukaryota; Metazoa; Arthropoda; Insecta; Lepidoptera; Bombycidae
Description: ovarian small RNA-36738
Source: RNAcentral
UUAGUAUAGUACCCCAGCAUUGAUGACC